Molecule: transfer RNA, 77 nt
Filed under: bacterium
Lineage: Bacteria
Description: tRNA-Arg
Rfam family: tRNA
About the family: Transfer RNA (tRNA) molecules are approximately 80 nucleotides in length. Their secondary structure includes four short double-helical elements and three loops (D, anti-codon, and T loops). Further hydrogen bonds mediate the characteristic L-shaped molecular structure. tRNAs have two regions of fundamental functional importance: the anti-codon, which is responsible for specific mRNA codon recognition, and the 3' end, to which the tRNAs corresponding amino acid is attached (by aminoacyl-tRNA synthetases). tRNAs cope with the degeneracy of the genetic code in two manners: having more than one tRNA (with a specific anti-codon) for a particular amino acid; and 'wobble' base-pairing, i.e. permitting non-standard base-pairing at the 3rd anti-codon position.
Source: RNAcentral
GCGCCCGUAGCUCAACUGGAUAGAGCAUCUGACUACGGAUUAGAAGGUUGGGGGUUCGAAUCCCUCCGGGCGUACCA